GGGGUCGUAGUUCAGCUUGGUUUAGAACGCCUGCCUGUCACGUAGGAGGUCGCGGGUUCGAACCCCGUCGAUCCCGCCA
This 79-nucleotide transfer RNA is filed under the name bacterium. RNAcentral describes it as "tRNA-Asp". It matches the Rfam family "tRNA". Rfam says of the family: Transfer RNA (tRNA) molecules are approximately 80 nucleotides in length. Their secondary structure includes four short double-helical elements and three loops (D, anti-codon, and T loops). The record is from RNAcentral. RNAcentral also lists the same sequence under 1 other name.